This is a long non-coding RNA of Papaver somniferum (opium poppy), 2054 nucleotides long. RefSeq lists it as uncharacterized. The transcript has 5 exons. Lineage: Eukaryota; Viridiplantae; Streptophyta; Magnoliopsida; Ranunculales; Papaveraceae. The record is from RefSeq and is a predicted model, not a curated record.
UCCUUCUUCUACUCCCACUACCUUCGACCUGAAACCACCAUAUAGUUCUUUUCCUUUCCCGUGGUCAGAAAAUCCUUAACCUACUUCAAUGCUUCAUCUUCUACUCCAUUGUUCCAAUCCUACAAAAGAAUCAUUCCCACUUUGUUGUCAAUUUUUCAUUUUUAAACCCUAACUGGUGUUCACCCUAAAAACCAUCAAAAUUGAACCAAUCGUUUCGAGUUUCCUCAUCUCUUCUUCAUUUUCUUCUUGAGAUUAUAUUACGAAUCCUAGAUACUAAAAUUUCAUAUGGGUAAAGGAUUCCGAAAACUCUAGAUUGUUCCAUUUUUAUGUUUGGCAAUUUAAUUUGAUGAUUUUUAAGUUAUUUUGAAUUUAAUCGGUAUUAGUUUAAUUUUCUCAAUAAAGAUUGGUGGGAUUUGGUAAUUGCUGGAUUUGAUUUUAAAGGCAGAAGAGAAGAAGGUCGAUGGUGUUGGUUCUUCUUAAAUUUCUUCAGAAAAAUAUGAAGAACAUCGUAAAGAUUAGGGGGAUGAGUUUUCUAGAGAAAUUACAGGAUCAAACAAUUCAUAUUCAUAGACUUUUGUUGCUUACUAGCAAGCUAUUUCCUAGCAUUCUGCAUAUGCAAUAUCAUGGGUGAGAGAUACACUCCUUGUUUUUUGUCUCUAUUGAAUUAAAAACAUAUAUAAAUGGAAUUAGCAGUCACUCAAAUCGAUUGAGCUGCCUUGCGAUAGGUUGUGAAGCCGAAACAGUCAGACUGACAAGGUACAAAUGCUGUUCUUUUAUUAAGUCCAAUUACUCCAAGGGUCUCAGAUACAAAAAUUUUGAUGCCUCCAAUAAUCUUCAUCUACACUUAUGUAUGAUCUUGAGCUGGUAGGAGAAUCGUGAUACAGGCAUACCCCUGCUUCUGAAUGUCUGUUUGCAUCAAAGUUGUUAGGAGAACAUUUAGGGGGUCAGAAGUAAGGUCAAUCAGUUUUGUGUCAAAGAAGUACUUUGCUACAGUAGAUCAUACCUACAUAACUCAAGAGUGUGGAUCCAGUCUAGAUGACAGGGACAAUCAGUUGUUGCUUAUAUCAGUUGGUGGAAAGCGGGUGUUAACUUCCUGGCUUCUUUAGAAUAGGUCUACAGACAAGGAAAAAACACUUGUCAAUGAGCUAAGCUACUAGUGGAAGUUUAAAAUAGAUCUAAACUGCAGUCAGAAAUACUCUCUUCAAUGUCCUUCCAGUGGCUGUCCACCAACAUGCCAUCAAGGUUUUUCAUCUUUUGACAAUUAUAUACUUGUGAUCCUUUUGUACAUAUCCAAGAGUACGUGCACCUAGUGCAUCUGUUGCAACAAACAUAUACUUCAGCCGUGUUCAACUUGCAACUCUCUCGUGUGAUACAUUAAUUCCCCCUUUCAAAAAAUAUAUAUGCCUCUCAAAGUAAAUAAAGUGGUUCUUCAGUCUUACACUUCAUUCAGAAGAAGGAAUCAGAAAUUCCUUAGACUGCUGGCCGAGUGUCGGACAAGUCUUGAGGGUAUGCUUUGGGGGACAAAAGAAUUAUUGUUGCAUGCAAAUAAAUUGCUGGUUCUUCUCUAGCUACUGAUGGUCCCGUUCAAGUUCAGGUAUGCCAGUUACCAUGUGAGCAGAUACAGCAUACCAAAGUUUGCUAACAAUUACAAAGUGUAUGUUGUAGACUUAUCGGGAUUUGGCUGGAGUGACAUCAUGAAGUGGUAUAGAAAGGGUUGAAUGCAUUUUACUGAUUACGGCUACUUCCAUGGUAAGCUCAGGUGGCAGAUAAGGUGGCUGAUCUUUAUCUUUUUAUGCUAAAAUGCGAAGUGAAGAUUUCAUCUAUUCCCCUUUAUAUCCUCGAUUCAAGGUUAAAGACAAAAGGGAUGUCUGUCUUAUUAGUACUUCUUAAAGUUCUGGGGAAAAGGUUAAUCUUGUUUUCAGUGCAUAUUCACACCUGAAACUGUUCUAAUUCUAGUACCGUAUGUCAAGUCAUGUUUUUGUUUUGUUUCAUGUCGAAUUGACGAUUAUGUAAUUUGACAGCUUAAUAAUUUAUAUUUGAAUCUUCUGGAUGUA